RNAcentral lists this ribosomal RNA (448 nucleotides) under uncultured bacterium. Its description in RNAcentral is "SSU rRNA". It matches the Rfam family "Bacterial small subunit ribosomal RNA", at positions 26 to 518 of the family's 1533-position model. The record is from RNAcentral.
AGAGCGAACGCUGGCGGCAGGCCUAACACAUGCAAGUCGAGCGCCCGUAGCAAUACGGGAGCGGCAGACAGGAUAGUAACACGUGGGAACGCGCCCUUCGGUUCGGAAUAACUCAGGGAAACUUGAGCUAAUACCGAAUACGCCCUUACGGGGAAAGAUUUAUUGCCGAAGGAACGGCCCGCGUCCGAUUAGCUAGUUGGUGAGGUAAUGGCUCACCAAGGCUACGAUCGGUAGCUGGUCUGAGAGGAUGACCAGCAUCACUGGGACUGAGACACGGCCCAGACUCCUACGGGAGGCAGCAGUGGGGAAUAUUGGACAAUGGGCGCAAGCCUGAUCCAGCCAUGCCGCGUGGAUGAUGAAGGCCUUAGGGUUGUAAAGCUCUUUUGUGCGGGAAGAUAAUGACGGUACCGCAAGAAUAAGCCCCGGCUAACUUCGUGCCAGCAGCCGC